UUGACCUCGGAUCAGGUAGGAAUACCCGCUGAACUUAAGCAUAUCAAUAAGCGGAGGAAAAGAAACCAACAGGGAUUGCCCUAGUAACGGCGAGUGAAGCGGCAACAGCUCAAAUUUGAAAUCUGGCUCUCGGGCCCGAGUUGUAAUUUGUAGAGGAUACUUUUGAUGCGGUGCCUUCCGAGUUCCCUGGAACGGGACGCCAUAGAGGGUGAGAGCCCCGUCUGGUUGGAUGCCAAAUCUCUGUAAAGUUCCUUCGACGAGUCGAGUAGUUUGGGAAUGCUGCUCUAAAUGGGAGGUAUAUGUCUUCUAAAGCUAAAUACCGGCCAGAGACCGAUAGCGCACAAGUAGAGUGAUCGAAAGAUGAAAAGCACUUUGAAAAGAGAGUUAAAAAGUACGUGAAAUUGUUGAAAGGGAAGCGUUUAUGACCAGACUUGGGCUUGGUUAAUCAUCUGGGGUUCUCCCCAGUGCACUUUUCCAGUCCAGGCCAGCAUCAGUUUUCGCCGGGGGAUAAAGACUUCGGGAAUGUGGCUCUCUUCGGGGA
This 541-nucleotide ribosomal RNA is filed under the name Fusarium verticillioides. RNAcentral's name for it is "eukaryotic LSU rRNA". It matches the Rfam family "Eukaryotic large subunit ribosomal RNA", at positions 1 to 552 of the family's 3401-position model. The record is from RNAcentral. Lineage: Eukaryota; Fungi; Ascomycota; Sordariomycetes; Hypocreales; Nectriaceae.